RNAcentral lists this ribosomal RNA (447 nucleotides) under uncultured bacterium. Its description in RNAcentral is "bacterial SSU rRNA". It matches the Rfam family "Bacterial small subunit ribosomal RNA", at positions 355 to 825 of the family's 1533-position model. The record is from RNAcentral.
UGGGGAAUCUUGCACAAUGGGGGAAACCCUGAUGCAGCGACGCCGCGUGAGCGAUGAAGCCCUUCGGGGUGUAAAGCUCUUUCGGCAGGAACGAUAAUGACGGUACCUGCAGAAGAAGCUGCGGCUAACUACGUGCCAGCAGCCGCGGUAAUACGUAGGCAGCAAGCGUUGUUCGGAAUUACUGGGCGUAAAGAGUGUGUAGGUGGUGUCGUAAGUUUGGUGUGAAAUCUCCCGGCUUAACUGGGAGGGUGCGCCGAAGACUGCGAUGCUGGAGUAUGGGAGAGGAAAGCGGAAUUCCUGGUGUAGCGGUGAAAUGCGUAGAUAUCAGGAGGAACACCUGCGGUGUAGACGGCUUUCUGGACCAUUACUGACACUGAGACACGAAAGCGUGGGUAGCAAACAGGAUUAGAUACCCCGGUAGUCCCUGAGCGGGCUGGCAAGGCGCAU